RNAcentral lists this ribosomal RNA (301 nucleotides) under uncultured bacterium. RNAcentral describes it as "partial 16S ribosomal RNA". It matches the Rfam family "Bacterial small subunit ribosomal RNA", at positions 509 to 809 of the family's 1533-position model. The record is from RNAcentral.
CAGUCGCCGCGGGAAUACGGAGGGGGCUAGCGUUGUUCGGAAUUACUGGGCGUAAAGCGCACGUAGGCGGCUUGGUAAGUUAGAGGUGAAAGCCUGGAGCUCAACUCCAGAAUUGCCUUUAAGACUGCCGAGCUAGCAGGUGAGAGAGGUAAGUGGAAUUCCGAGUGUAGAGGUGAAAUUCGUAGAUAUUCGGAAGAACACCAGUGGCGAAGGCGGCUUACUGGCUCAUACUGGACGCUGAGGUGCGAAAGCGUGGGGAGCAAACAGGAUUAGAUACCCGCGUAGUCCCUGUCUCUUAUAU